AGCCUGAAUCUUUAUUGCCCUCAAUCUUCAAAGGAGUAGAAAACUCCGUUAAACAAAAUGGAAUCCUGGGGGCCACAUCGUAUGAAUGACUCAUUGGAUAAUACUUGUAGAACUACCCAGAAUCGCUUACGUGUGAGGGUUAAAGAAGGGCAUAUGUACCCAGCACAGGGUAAAGGAGCAGAACGGAUUUGAUCAUUUUACACUAUGUAAAGAUGCCUGAGGGCAACAGCCCUGCCAGCAGUACAUACGGGCAGGUGUUCCUACACCCUUCCAUUCCCAGAUUUUACCGACAAGUCUUUUUUCACAGGUUCUCUACCAAUCACGUUUCCCCAGCAAUACAAGGUUGACAUUACUGCAACCAGGUGGCAGAACCAGAGCUCUCCUCUUCUGGGUCAGAAACAGGCCAUGAGAUCUGGUCUAACCAGCAGACCUGGCCUCCCUGGAUCCUGGAGGAUCAAACAUCACUGGUACUAAAGGUGCUGUGCCUGGAAGGCAGGAGGCAGGUCCAGGGGCAGCAAGAGAGGCCACUACCUUUCUGCAGUGAAAGCAUGAGGCGUUUUUUUGUAAAGGUCGGAAGACACGGCUGUGUUGAGCUGCGCUGCCUGAAGCAUACAGAACCUCUGCAUGUUGAGUGAACCAAAUGCAAAGCCUUUCUCCUCCUGCACAUGAACGAUGGAUUCACCCACCAUCCCCUCCAUGACUGCUUUUCCCCGGCCGACAGCUCGCUGGGGAGCAGGCUGAUAUUACCACCAUUUCCCAGAGGACCCCAGCCCAUGGGCCACAACUCGCCCACUGUGGGGCGGGACCAAGUGGAAGGCGUGCCAACCUCCAGGCCUGGGCUGCCUGACAGGGCGCUCCAUCCCGCGUUACCUCUCCAGGGCACAGCUACUCUCCCUUCUUCCACCUGUAUUAAUGCUCAGAGCUCACAGGUAAGGCUUCCCUGCAUUUGACCAGGAUUCUGUGUAGAAUCGCUUGGAAUGUGAGCAACAUUGGGGCAGGUGUCUGUGUGCUCAUCUGGCCUCCAUAAACCCUCCCUCCUGGCCAGUCCUCACUUGCACUGAGCUGUUCUCUGAGGGUCACCCAUCCCAGUGUGACAAGUGCCUGAUUCCAUCAAAGAACAGUGAACAGCAGCCCUGGUUGAAGGUAUGGCAUGCAACCCCAAUAUGCCAAGGGGACAGCUGCUGUCUUUCAGCAACCAGCCAGGCCCCAGCUCCACUCUUCACCUGCCCCCUGCUUCCUGCACCCCAAAGAGCCAGCCUUGCUGUGCGCCUGGGGUGCUCAGGGGAGUGGGCUGGGCCUCAGUGUCAUCUGCUCCCUCUCGGAAGCUCCUGGACCCACCCUGUCGAUUACAGUGAAAGGUGGCUUCCCCCUCCCUCCAGAGCCUCUGAUUUCAGCCUCUGUCGCUACUGGAAUGUAGGCGGCAGAGGUGCAAAGGGGGAGAGGAGACCUGAAUGGGGGCACCUAGGAAAAGAACAGGGAACUCAAGGUGGGGGUGAUAGGAAUCUCAUUUCCUUCCAAUAUCCUUUUUCUUACACUUUGAAGAUUUAAAACUGAUAAAAGGGAUACCAACUGCAGAAGCAAAGCCGGGAGCCUAUGGUCAUCCUCCCACUGCGGGCAGUGAGGCCUCUAGUACCGAGAGGAAACCCCACCCAAACAUACCUCCAAGUGUCCCUGCCCAGGACAGGAAACCCAAGCACGGCCCUGUCACAGUCAAGCUGGUCUGGGGAAAGAAAAGCAGAGCCCACGUGGUCCCCUCACUAGCACACCUGCGUGCAGGGGAGCCUUGGGCUCAGCCCCUGCCAGACAGCACUGAGCCACACCCCCGCCCACACAUAGCAGACGGGACACUGCACACAGUGAUGGUCAAGAUCUUGCCACAUCUGACACCAGAAGGCACUUUUAAGGGUUUUCCAACAUUAGUAGCCCCGUGAGAUCAGUUAACGGCUGAGAAACCAAAGAUGCUAGAGCAACCAAAACAAAGGCCCAUGGCGGAGUGAGGGCCAUGUGGGGUCAACUUUCUGGUAUCAAGGAUGACACAGGGCUAAAAAACUCUACGCCUGACCCAAGCCAACGCCGAGCCUGCGAUUUCCCUUGGACAAAAUCUCCAGAACGCCUUUCCUAUCAUCAGCCUCUUCCUCCAGUUGAGCUGAGGCUGCUCUUAGCUGGAUUUCAGUUACGUAAUGUUUAUGUGGUCAUUACUCUGUAUUGUUUGCCAACUGCGUCUUUUCCCUUUGGUUUG
Capra hircus (goat) is the source of this 2239-nucleotide long non-coding RNA. RefSeq lists it as uncharacterized. The record is from RefSeq and is a predicted model, not a curated record. The transcript has 3 exons. NCBI's taxonomy places the organism in Eukaryota, Metazoa, Chordata, Mammalia, Artiodactyla, Bovidae.